GUUAUGAUAGCACUGAAAUACCAUCUAGCUUUUACCCCCAUCCCUCGGUGGGCUAUGCAGAGCUCGCAUCUGAGCCGCUACUAGAGCAUACUCCAUCCAUCACCGCAUCUGCUUUGGCUUUGCAGGCACAUACUCCUCCUACCGGCAUAUUUGAGCCUCCAUCACCAGUCACGUCUCUAGCACAUACUCCACCCAUCGAUGAGGCUCACCGGUAUCCACGUCAC
This 224-nucleotide long non-coding RNA is filed under the name Elaeis guineensis (African oil palm). Its description in RNAcentral is "long non-coding RNA (EGUI_LNC068262)". The record is from RNAcentral. Lineage: Eukaryota; Viridiplantae; Streptophyta; Magnoliopsida; Arecales; Arecaceae.